AUUGAACGCUGGCGGCCGACCUAACACAUGCAAGUCGAGCGGAGCGGCGGACGGGUGAGUAAUGCCUAGGAAUCUGCCUGGUAGUGGGGGAUAACGUCCGGACACGGGCGCUAAUCCCGCAUACUAUCAGAUGAGCCUAGGUCGGAUUAGCUGGUUGGUGGGGUAAAGGCCUACCAAGGCGACGAUCCGUAACUGGUCUGAGAGGAUGAUCAGUCACACUGGAACUGAUACACGUGCCAGACUCCUACGGGAGGCAGCAGUGGGGAAUAUUUGACAAUGGGCGAAAGCCUGAUCCAGCCAUGCCGCGUGUGUGAAGAAGGUCUUCGGAUUGUAAAGCACUUUAAGUUGGGAGGCGUUACCAACAGAAUAAGCACCGGCUAACUUCGGGCCAGCCGCCGCGGUAAUAC
This 407-nucleotide ribosomal RNA is filed under the name uncultured bacterium. RNAcentral describes it as "partial 16S ribosomal RNA". It matches the Rfam family "Bacterial small subunit ribosomal RNA", at positions 30 to 526 of the family's 1533-position model. The record is from RNAcentral.